GUCCCUCCAAGGACAUCCAAUAAAAUUGGAAAGAUGUCGAGAAGAUUAGCAUGACCCUUACACAAGGACGACACGCACAAAUCAAGAAAGAAAAUUCUAGGUU
This is a small nuclear RNA of Prosopis cineraria, 103 nucleotides long. The record is from RefSeq and is a predicted model, not a curated record. NCBI's taxonomy places the organism in Eukaryota, Viridiplantae, Streptophyta, Magnoliopsida, Fabales, Fabaceae.